CACAUACUCUCUCCGUUUCAAAUUAGUUGACUUGAAUUUGUCUAAAUAAAGAUGUAUCUACACUUGUUUAGUGUUUAGAUACAUCCAUAUCUAGAUAAAUAUGGGUCAAGUAAUUUGAAACGGAGAGAGUACAAA
Molecule: non-coding RNA, 135 nt
Organism: Triticum aestivum (bread wheat)
Lineage: Eukaryota; Viridiplantae; Streptophyta; Magnoliopsida; Poales; Poaceae
Source: Rfam